Molecule: long non-coding RNA, 673 nt
Organism: Sus scrofa (pig)
Lineage: Eukaryota; Metazoa; Chordata; Mammalia; Artiodactyla; Suidae
Source: RefSeq, a predicted model, not a curated record
UCCCGCCGAGCGUCGACGCCGAGGCAAGAGUGAGCUAGCAGCUGGGGUUUCUUUAGGAGGCCGUCACACCCAGAGGGCACCUCUGUUCGGCCGCCUCUUACCCUAGCUUUCUUUCACCGCCACCCGCCCGCCGUACUUGGUGUCUUCUCACUUCUGAGUCAUUUCACCUCCAAUUUUUCAGAAAAGAUUUCGGAUUUUCCUGUAAUUCCUUUUUGGAGGUUGGGAAGUUAUGAUUGAGACACCAAUGGAUUCCUUGUCUGGUGAGAACACACCUACUCGUCCAUAAACUGGUAAUUGUGACAAAUCUCAUCCUAGCUCUUAAUCCUACCAGCCACUACAGAAAGAUCUUCCACCAGGAUUCUGUUCUGCCUUAGGGGUGAUUCAGCGAAGAAAGAUACAUUCCAAGAUAAGGAAAAGAAAAAGGCAAUGCCUUUCUAAAUGCACGGAUUAUGAGAAACAAAAAGAACAAUUCUGCUAAAAGAACAAUUCUGCUAAAGAAGAUGAAUGAAAUAUUUCCUAAUGGUUUUGUGGGUUGGAAACAUUAGAGUGUGGAGGGAAAGCUUUUAUUUAUUUAUUUAAAGCUGUGGGACUUGGGUGUUAAAAGAUACAUCAUUUCAUUAUAACUAUUUGUGGUAAGCUGAAUGUGUUUAAAAAUCUAAUUUGAUUGCCUUGA